This 11062-nucleotide long non-coding RNA is filed under the name Musa acuminata (dwarf banana). Its description in RNAcentral is "long non-coding RNA (MACU_LNC010032)". The record is from RNAcentral. Lineage: Eukaryota; Viridiplantae; Streptophyta; Magnoliopsida; Zingiberales; Musaceae.
UCGCAGACCAAUAGCAGCCCACCACAUGACCCCAACCAGAGCCAAGAACUCGCCGUCCCAAUCACCAGUGUUAACCCGACCUCUCAUCCCUCCCUCCUUAAAUGACCCUCCUGGCUUUCGCUCGUGUCGUCACCUUUCGCUCUGUUUUGCCGCAAUCCACACGUUCGGGCAACAAAGCAUCUCCUCCAAAUCUCCCCAAUCCCUUGCCCACUACGAAGCGAUCUCCCCUCCACUAUCGAAGCUUCCUCCUGUUCUUUGAUUCCGAUCGAGGUUGCCUCGGUGGUGAUCGAGUAGGGGGUUCUAGGGCUGGGGUUGGGGUUGGGGUUGGGAGGGAUCGGCCGAUCGACAAUGGGGCUUCUCUUCGUGGAGUCGCUCCCUGGCCCGAAGGUCUUCAAGUGCGGGUGCUGCAAGGUCGACUCGGCGUCCCAUGACGCGAUCAUCUCCAAGGAUUUCCACGGGCGGUAUGGCCGCGCGUACCUCUUCAAGAGCGUGUGAGUGUGACUUCAAGAGCUUUACCCUCGUUCUUGUUGGAGAAAUGAUAUUAGGAUUUUUUGACCUCAAUGUGGUGUUUAUGCGCCUAUGGUAAUGGAUUCUAUGAUGGCACAUAUGUUCUUGGUCUUUAGGUUUGCUGUGAUGUAGGUCUUUUCCUUGUUGUUGGUUUCACAUUGGUAUAAGCUACGAAAUGGUGCCACUUCUUAUUAGCUUAAACUAAUGGUCUUCUGUCUAACGAGUAUUCUUGUGUCCUCUAUUUCGUUGCCAACUAGCAGUUUCUCAUAUGAUGGAGCGGUAACCAUUUAGUGGCACACACACUCCUCUCUGCCCUCAUUUCUCCAAAUCUGGCAUUGAUGGAGUGGGGACAUGGUGAGAUUGGUGCAGUAGGUGUCCGGUUAAUGGCUCUUCCCCAGCGCUUCUUAUCUUCUUUGGCCUAUUCUCUCCUUGAGCUACCACCCUAUCCAAAUCUAGCCAUGUGAGGCAAGGGUGAGCUGAUGACUAUUCGUUGAAUAGUCAAAAGUUUGAAAACAAUGAGGGGCUGGGAGGUAAAACCCUAAAACAGUGGUUUGGAGUAGGAGUGUUGGUAGCGAAGUGUUCCACCUGAAUCUUUUUGGGUCUUGGUAACCUGUUUGAGUCGAGAUUUUAUGGGUGGUACACCUGAGAAAUUAAUGGAACUCUUAACACUAGAUGUUCUAUGCUCUUUUAGUCUGCUUAACUGGUCGGUUAGAAGUUUUCUAACUUCUUUACGUAGAUUUUGCAUGUAAUGACCGUAACGACGUUAAGUUUCAAAACUUACAACUUACUAAAAAACGAUGGUAGAUACAAGAUAGAAAUUAGAAGUUGUUUAUUUCAUUGAUAUGUUUUCUCUAUUUAUAUAAGUUAGGAGGGAUGAUUUCUUGUUGGAGAAAUCUUAUCUGUUAUUAUACAUGAUACUUCUAUCAAGAAUGUCGAUCUUGGACUAAUGCAAUGAAAAUACUUUACAGGCGAGAGGCUUAGUGAGUAGUUGAUCAGUCGUAUAUACAUGAGAAAUACGUAGUUGAUAUCAGACAACUUGAUCUCGUAAGAAAUGGAAGUCGAUGUCAAUAUGUUUCAUGCGAGAGUGGAACACUGGAUUGACGCAUGGGAAGGUAACUUCGACAUUAUCACAAUAUAUCGUAGAAGUAAGAGUAGAAUCGAUGUUGAGUUUCUUGAGUAGAUUCGUAACCCAAUUGAGUUCUACAAUAAUAGUGACAAUGACACGGUAUUCAGCUUCAGUUGUAGACCGUGUGAUUAUCUUUUACUUUUUAAAACUCCAACUAAUUGGAUUAGCUCCAAAGAUAAUAUACCCCAACUUAGAUGUUUUAUCAUCAAAUUUCUUGCUCAAUCAACAUCAGUAAAAGCAUGGAGAUGAAGUGAAGAGUGUUUGCGGAAAAAGAGAUCAUGAUUAAGGGUCUCUUUAAGAUAUCACAGGAUUCAUUUGAUUGCAGACCAAUGCGUAGUAGAUAACCGCUACAUAAAUUGUGAUAGUUUAUUGAUCACAAAUGAGAUGUCUGGACGGAUGAGAGUUAAGUACUGUAAAUAAUCAAUUACUUAUCGGUAUUAAGUGAGUUUAGAAUUAUCAUCACAUUAUUUGACACAAUACCAUGAUGCAGGAAUUAGGACAGUUGUAUCGAAACAUUAAAUUAAAUUUUAUAUUUUGAUAAUAAUUAAUUUUAUGAGUCCAAGAAGUUGAGUCUUUUAAUAAUAUCAUGUCACAUGCAACAUAGUCUAUUAAUUAUCAGAGGUCUUCUGAUAAGCUGGCCAGAGAAGACUUAGAAAUGUGAAACACCGUAAGUCAACAAUCAAAAUCAUUACUUAUUUUUAACAUAAAUAUCUUUAUACAACUCUCAUCUUUUAUCUCAAUCUUUCUCCCUUACCCAAUAUAUUUAAAUUAAAUAAAUAAUAAAUCACAAACGAUUUCUUCCAUAAAUUUCUUUUUUUUUAAAUCAAAAGGAUUUUUUUAUUUUUAAUCUUUUGUUUCUUCACAUAAUCGAUCUUUUUGCAUACAAGUAUCUUAAGGAUGGAGGAACGAGAUGGCAUCACUAGGGUUUUAUAAAGUAAUAUAUUUUGAUAGAUUAUUUACGUAGUCAUAGAGGAAAAAAAAAUGGAUAUUACCACUUUUUAUUAUGUGUUAUUUAAUCUAAUAAUAUAAUACAGGAUGACACUUUGCUAUCUGGUGAUUAGAAAAAUCAUAUGCGUAAAUUAAAAAGGCCAUUAACGAAAGUGGUCAAUCUAAAUCAUGAUAAAGUCGAGUAAUCAAUCUUGAAUAUAUGAUCCGUUAGAUCAUUUAUGCAUUAUGAUAAUUAAACGAUAACCCGUAGAUACAAUACGUUUUGUGGCCUUCGUAUAAAUAUGUUGAACAAACCGAAACAAUAAUAUGAACGGUCAUUGAGGUAUGUGUUGGAUGCUAUCCAUGUAUCCCUAAUGAAAUGUGUCGUUCGAAUGGCUAGUCAAUGGGACCCGACAAAUUCUCUACAUCACCAAAAAAUAUUACUCAUUGAUAUUAAAACGAAUUUAAAGUAACUUUUUUUUUUAUUUCAUAUUAAAUAUAAUUAUUAAAUCCUUCCAUAUGCAUCGUCAUAUAUAUAUAUAUAUAUACCCAUUUAGGAAAGAAAUAAUAUUUUUGCAUCGAUUUAUCAUUUAUUUAUCUCAUUGAGAGUAGAGCCAGAGGAUGAAGAAAGAAAAAAAGAAUUCAUCUUACCACAUAUAACAAAAAAUAAUAGAUAAGAACUAAUCUAAUAUACUUAUUUUACGAACCUCAAUCAAAACUCAUUUUGAGAUAUAAAAUAUUGAGAUCAUAUAAUUUUGAGGACAUCAUCUUCAUGUGAGUUUCAGUCAUACUAUUAGAUAUAAUAUACAUGAGAUUGAAUAUCAAUACAACUCAAAAAAUUUAAAUUAUUGUAUCAACGUAAUAUACAUAUAUGUAUCAUCUGAUUCUUUUGGACUUCAUCGUAUAUGAAUGACAUUUCUUUUAUAUAUCAAGGGUUCAUCAUUCUUGGACCAUCACCAUAAUUUGCCUAUGUGCUGCAUUACUCCCAGGUGCACCUACUUAUUGCAGCUGAUAAUGUGGACUAUUUAUCUUCUCAUUAGCCAGUGUCUCUACAUGGUCCACAUGCCAGCCAAUCAGAAAAUAAACAAAGCACGUGGUUGAAACGUGACUCCAUUCAUGCAUUUGUAUUUGUUUGGCAAGGCGUGCAUCCCACGAGUUACUUUGACUUCAUAUUCUUGAUUUGGAUGAUAUAUAUAUAUAUAUAUAUAUAUAUAUAUAUAUAUAUAUAUAUAUAUAUAUAUAUAUGAUGACCGUAUUUUUCUGUAGAUGCAUUUGUAAAUGAGAUAAAUAGCUCGAGAAUGAGUUAAGAUUAUUUCUCUAUGGCCGAUACCUAACGUGUGAUUCCAUCUCAUGUGUUGGAUUCACCCAUUUUAUCUUUUUACGACCUUAAUAUGACCCACUGGUGAUAGUGAUUGCAUAUUUGGAAAAUCGAAUCUAGCCUUGUGAACAGACACAUGCUCCGAAACUUCGAUGCGUUUUGACUUAUGAGACAGAUAACUUUCUUUAUGUUGAAUCCACCGGUCGAUGAUAUAAGACAAAUAAAUGUCAUAUGGGUAUCAUCUCAUCCAGUCUUUUAGAAUUAGAUUUAGAUGGGUUCUCUUUGCAUUAUCGAUUUAAUUUAUAGAUGUUCUUGGAUCGAAGAGUGCAGAUUAUUUAUUGACGUGACGCAGUCUCUCCAGUAGAUGUAAUAUGACAAAUAAAUGUCACAUGGGUAUCAUCUCAUUCGGUCUUUUAAAAUUAGAUUUAGAUGACUUCUCUUUGCAUUAUCGAUUUAAGAAAAGGGAGAGACUGCAUCACGUCAAUAAAUAAUCUGAACUCUUAGAUCCAAGAACAUCUAUAAAUAGCCCAUCCACCACACACCUCAGCACACCAUUCCUUCUGUCUCUCUCUCCUGUUAUACGGUGAAGCUAAUUGGAGACAUGGCGAGCCACAUCGUCGGCGAGAAGGUGAGUGGAACGGUGGUGCUGAUCCGGAAGACCGGCCUAUGCUUCAACUACUGCGGCGGCACCGUCAUCGACAACGUGCUCGGCCGAAGCAUCUCCUUCCAGCUCGUCAGCGCCACCGUCGGCGACGCUAGUGAGCUGCUCUCUCUCUCUCUCUCUCUCUCCCUCCCCUCCCCUCCCCUCCCCUCCCUCCUCCUCCUCCUCUCUCUCUCUCUCUCNNNNNNNNNNNNNNNNNNNNCUCUCUCUCUCUCUCUCUCCUCCCCCCCCCCCCCCUCCUCUCUCUCAUCUUCUUCUUGUCAUCAUCGUGUUAUAGUUAGUGGAAAUGAUAGAAGCGUUGAUGUGCAGAUAAUGGGAAUCGUGGGGUCGUCGGGGAGGAGGCAUAUUUGGAACAGCACAUCACUUCGUUGCCCGCCCUGGCUGCCGGCGAAACUGCUUACCAAGUGACGUUCCACUGCGAGGAGAAGAACGGGAUUCCCGGCGCCGUUAUCGUCAAGAACAACCUCAGCUCCGAGUUCUUCCUCAAGACCUUGACUCUCGAGGACUUCCCCGGCAAGGGCCGCAUCCACUUCGUUUGCAACUCCUGGGUCUACCCGGCCGUUAAGUACAAAUACGACCGCGUCUUCUUCGCCAACACCGUCAGUAUCUACCAACUCUAUAUAUAACACAGAUGAGAUUGGCAUCUUUGAGUCUCCAAUCACCAUGCAUCGACCUGUUGCAGACGUAUCUUCCGGGAGACACACCACUGCCGCUGAAACCAUACAGGGAAGAAGAACUCUGUAACCUGAAGGGAGCUAACGUCGACGGGCAGCUGAAGGAAUGGGACCGCGUCUACCGUUACGACUACUACAACGAUCUCGGUAGCCCAGACACGUGCCAGGACUUGGCUCGGCCCAUCCUCGGAGGGACUCCGGAGCACCCUUACCCGCGCCGUGGGAGGACCGGCCGGCCACCGACAAAGAAUGGUAACACUUGAUCAUAGACGUCUUUUGUUCACAUCAUUCUCUGAUCUGAUGCCGUUCAUGUGUUUGACAUAAUAGAUCUCAAGUCGGAGAGCAGGCUGCCGCUGCUGAACCUGAACAUUUACGUGCCCCGGGAUGAGCAGUUCGGGCACCUUAAGAUGGCCGAUUUCCUCACGUAUGCCUUCAAGGGCGUCGUCAGAGUAGUGCUCCCGGUGCUGCAGGCCAUAGCGGGCGCAACCCCCAUCGAGUUCAACUCGUUCGAGGACGUGCUGAAGCUCUACGAGGGCGGCCUUCCGGUGCCCCCCAAUCCCCUGCUUGAGGAGCUCCGACAGCUAGUUCCAUUUGAGAUGAUACGGGCGCUGCAGCGCGUCGAGGGCGGCCGGGGCCUGCUCAAGCUCCCUAUGCCCCAAGUAAUCCAAGGUAAUAACCCCGAUAAUAGAUUAACUGGGUUGGAUCGGACAAGUUGAUGACCAUUUGACUCGGUUGGCAGUGGAUAAAACUGCCUGGCGAACCGACGAAGAGUUCACUCGCGAAAUGCUAGCCGGUUUGAACCCGGUGGUCAUCAGGCGUCUCGAGGAGUUCCCUCCCACGAGCAAGCUUGAUGCUUGCAAGUAUGGCGACCAUACCAGCACGAUAACUGCAGCCCACAUUGAGCACCACCUUGACGGACUCACCGUGCAUCAGGUGAGAAGCUUAUCUGGUGUGAUGCAUGUAGCGCUAGCGAAGUAGUCUUGCUUCAUCGUGCUCCUUUUCUCCCUCCUGAAGGCACUGAAGCAGAACAAGCUCUUCAUCUUGGAUCAUCAUGAUGCAUACCUCCCCUACCUCAACCGCAUCAACGCUCUCGCCGUCAAAGUAUAUGCCACCAGAACUCUGCUGUACCUGAGGCAGGACUCCACGCUAAAGCCAUUGGCGAUCGAGCUCAGCUUGCCUCACCAGGACGGAGAGCAGCAUGGCGCCGUCAGCAAGGUGUACACACCGGCUGAAAGCGGCGUGGAAGGAUCGAUCUGGCAGCUGGCGAAGGCCUACGCCGCCGUCACGGACUCCGGCUACCAUGGCCUCAUCAGCCACUGGUGCUUACAGAAUCACAGCAUGCUCUAUUCUGAGUCCCUGUUGUUGUUCGCCUGCCUGAUCACCAUUCUUUUACCUCGAUCGCAGGCUCAACACACACGCGGUGAUGGAGCCGUUCGUGAUCGCGACGCACAGACACCUGAGCGUGAUCCACCCGAUCCACAAGCUUCUGUCGCCGCACUACCGCGACACGAUGACCAUCAACGCCUUGGCCCGGCAUGCCCUCAUCCCCGCCGGUGGCAUAUUCGAGAUGACGGUCUUCCCAGGGAGGUACGCGUUGGAAUUGUCUUCCACGGUCUACAAGAGCUGGAAUUUCCGGGAGCAGGCUCUCCCCGCUGAUCUGAUCAAGCGGUACGAAUCCUCGAAAGCUCGAAUCGUGUCUCACGAUGAGUUCUACUCUGUGCAUGACCCAAAGAUUCAUCUCUGUGCAGAGGAGUUGCGGUGAAGGACCGAGACGACAGGCUUUGCCUGCUGAUCGAGGAUUACCCUUAUGCCGUGGACGGGCUUCAGAUAUGGCAUGCGAUCGAGACAUGGGUCGGAGAGUACUGUGCAAUCUACUACCCGACGGACGACGUCGUGAAAGCUGAUGCCGAGCUCCAGGCCUGGUGGAAGGAGGUCCGCGAGGUCGGCCAUGGCGACAAAAAGGACGAGCACUGGUGGCCAGCCAUGCAAACCACAUCCGAACUGAUCGAGACAUGCACCACCAUCGUCUGGAUCGGUUCUGCGCUCCACGCCGCCAUCAACUUCGGGCAGUACCCCUACGCUGGGUACCUGCCAAACCGGCCGACCAUGAGCCGGCGCUUCAUGCCGGAGCCGGGCACGCCGGAGUACGAGGAGCUGAAGAAGAACCCGGACAAGGUGUUCCUGAAGACCAUCACCAGCCAGCUGCUCACCAUGCUGGGUCUCAACACCAUCGAGAUCCUGUCGAACCACGCGUCCGACGAGGUGUACCUGGGACAACGGGACACGCCGGAAUGGACGUCGGAUGAGAGGGCGGUGAAGGCGUUCGAGCGCUUCGGGCAGCGACUCAAGGCGAUCGAGGCGGAGAUCAUGAAGAGGAACGGCGACCCAAGCUUGAAGAACCGCAAUGGCCCGGUGAAGAUGCCUUACACCUUGCUCUUCCCGAGCAGUGGGGUUGGGGUCACCGGCAGGGGAAUCCCCAACAGUAUCUCCAUUUAAGUCGCCUGUCGAAGUAUGGAGUAGCCAUGAAGAUUGUACCGAAUAAAUCUGAUGCGUUGUGUGAGAGGCUGUGAGAGACUGCAUUUGAAUAAAUUUAUUGAGCUAUUCUGAACAUUAAUCUUUAAUUUGAUUUCUUCAACAAUUAAAUCCGUGCUAUUACAGAAAUAUGGAUGUGGCCAACUAGUAAAAAAAAGUAUGAAAUAGCACAAAUUUAUCUACAUUUUGUAAUGUAUCCUAACCAUUUAUAAUGUAAAAAAUCAUGAUAAAAGCAAAUAUAGAAUGAUAUCUUUUUAUUUCUUACAUAUUUUAUACCCCCAAUCAAUCUAUAAUUUAAAGAUCAAUCACAGAUUUGAUUGUGUGAUUUGAGUAAUUAAUUGUUGAAAAUUUUUUACUCAAAAUAUGUAUAAUAAUACACAUUAGUCCAAUCAAAUGAAUGAAAUCUAUCGUUUUCAUAAUAAAUUUCUCACUUUUUCAAAUAAUAGAAUCAUAAUUAAGAUAAAACAAUGUUGAAUAUCUCCCACAUGAAUGGUUCGUAGAAAUAAAUAUGCAUGGCUAUUUCAUUGUUACUAAAUUAAAGAUCAUAAACUAAUUUAGAUCUCACUCUUUCUCUUUCUUGUUCUUUUUUUUUUUAUACCUUUUCUUCUUCUCGAAUUAGAAAAAACAUGAUAAAAGUUGUUCCAUCUAUACUGUCAUCUCUUCUUCCCUUCUUUGUUCAUUAACAAAAUAGAAUCUUCAUAAAUGUCCAGGGAUCUAAAAUUAAUCUUGCAAUCUCACAAAUGUUCAUAAACACAUUCCACUUCAUCUCCAUGCCUUUGCUGAUACAGACUGAGUGGGAAACUUUGAUGAUCGCACCUUCACGUCGAGGCAUGUCGUCUUUCUUGGGUCCAAUCCAAUCAGUUGGAGUUUUAAGAAGCAAAAGACAAUCGCCCGGUCUACAACUGAAGUUGAAUAUUGUGUCAUUUCUACCGCUGCUACUGAACUCAAUUGGGUUACAACUCUCCUCAAGGAAUUCACAGUCAGCUCUACCCUUGCUCCUAUAAUUUAUUGUGACAAUGUUGGAGCUACCUACCUAUGCGUCAAUCAAGUGUUACACUCACGCAUGAAACACAUUGCCAUCGACUUUCACUUCGUGCGAGAUCAAGUUGUCAAAUGUCAACUUCGUGUCUCUCAUGUUCAUAUGGCUGAUCAACUAGCAACACUUAGGAAGCCUCUAGCCCGUAAACUAUAUUUGUUGCAUCGAUCGAAGAUCGAUAUCCUUGAUAGAAACUCGAUCUUGCGGAGGCAUGAUAAUAGAGAGAUGAGGAAAUCUCGCUGCUCAAUUGAGAAAAAUCUUCUCUUUCAUCAUGUAUAAAUAGACAUUAUAUGACACUAAUUAAGGUAUGCUUUCUCUUUAUCUUUAUCAUUUCACUCUUCAUUCUAUCACUUUAUCACCUCUAUCAGUAUAUUAAAAUAAUAAUAAAUAAAUAAUAAUAAUAUCAAAAUUAUUAACUUAUCUAAUUUAUCAUAAAAUCUUAUUAUUAUUUAUCUUUCGAUAAUUUAUCAGAACAAUCAAUAAUAAUAAGUUUUUCUCCACCAUUCUCCUCUUCCCAACCCCCCACCUCCUCUCUCCGAAGGUUUUCUUCUCCUCAUUCCUUCUCUUGAUUUCCAUCUCCUUAUACUCUUUCACCGGCUCCACCUUCAUCAUCCGAAGAGGAUAAAGCAGAUAAGAAGGGGAGAGGAGGAGGUGAUGGUAGAGUGGGCUUAGGUAGAGUGAGAGAUAGAGCGGGAGGAGGAGAAAAUCAAGUGAUGGUAGAGUGGGCUUAGGUAGAGUGAGAGAUAGAGCGGGAGGAGGAGAAAAUCAAUUGAAAGAAAGAGGAGGCGAUAGAGGUGAAGAAUGAAGAGGAGAAAGAGAUGGGAAGAUGGAGGGUUAUUUGAAAAAAAAAAAAGAGAUAAUUAGAGUUAAAUCGAAUCAAGUUAGGGCUUAAUCAGUUUGUUCGAUUCAUCUCAAAAAAAUUAAUUUAAUUCUAAAAUAUCAAGUCAAACUUAGUAAAAAACAAUCAUCAUCUUUGAAUUAAAAAUAAAAUACAUAUUCUUUAUUAAAAAUCAAAUACGGAGGCAUUAUUUCAUAAAAGUCUAUUACUAACAUAUUUUUCAGUAAAUUACUAUAUAUAUAUAUAUAUUAUUUUCUUCAUUUAAUAACUUAUAUCCAUAAAAUGAUCAGAAACAUUUUAAGCUUGUUGUAAAAAAUAUUCAAAUGUCAUUUCCCCUCCCACUCUCUAUCGUGGAAGUAUCAUUCAACCAGCACGAUUCAAUACAGGGCAUUUAGAUGGUUCAAAGGAGAAGGACACGGUGGCAUUUCCGAAAGAAUGGGCAUGUUUCUGCGAGUCGGUUAACCUCCAAACCAAUGCACCUCGAACGUGUCGCCCAUCCUGUCCAAGCGCCACAUCUUCCAAUUCACAAUCCCUAGGAGAUGCGGCCCUCUUCCGAACCCCACCCAAUUCAUGAGCGCCAAAAGCGGUUCUUCUCGCGCACCAAUAGCAGCCCACCACGUGACCCCGACCAGAGCGAAGAACUCGCCGGGCCAAUCACCGGUGUUAUCCCGACCUCUCAUCCCUCCCUCCUUAAAUGAGCCUCCUGGCUUUCGCUCGCGUCGACACCUUUCGCUCUGUUUUGCCGCAAUCCGCACGUUCGGGCAACAAAGCAUCUCCUCCAAAUCUCCCCAAUCCCUCGCCCACUCCGAAGCGAUCUCCCCUCGACGAUCGAAGUUUUCUCCUGUUCUUUGCUUCCGAUCGAGGUUGCCUCGGUGGUGAUCGUGUUGGGGGUUCUAGGGCUGGGGUUGGGAGGGAUCGACCGAUCGACAAUGGGGCUUCUCUUCGUGGAGUCGCUCCCUGGUCCGAAGUUCUUCAAGUGCGGGCGCUGCAAGGUCGACUCUGCAUCCCAUGACGCGAUCAUCUCCAAGGAUUUCCACGGGCGGUAUGGCCGCGCGUAUCUCUUCAAGAGCGUGUGAGUGUGACUUCAAGAGCUUUACUCUCGUUCUUGUUGGAGAAAUGAUCUUAGGAUUUUUUUACCUCAAUGUGGUGUUUAUGCGCCUAUGGUAAUGGAUUCUAUGAUGGCACAUAUGUUCUUGGUCUUUAGGUUUGCUGUGAUGUAGGUCUUUUCCUUAUUGUUGGUUUCACAUUGGUAUAAGCUACGAAAUGGUGCCGCUUCUUCAAUGAUUAGCUUAAACCAAUGGUCUUCUGUCUAACGAGUUUGCUUGUGUCCUCUAUUUCAUAGCCAAUUAGCAGUUUCUCAUAUGAUGGAGCGGUAAUCAUUUAGACUUUUUAGCCUUUGUUAGUCUUCUGUAGAUGGACGGAAACAAAAUCGUAACCCAAAUA